AUGAAGAAGCAUCCAAAGCUUGAAGAAUUCACAGAUGUGCUGGGCGGUGACGAUGGUAGGAGGUUUGAUUUCGAAGAUCCACGCGUUCAAUGCAUAUAUCAAGCAAGGUCAAGGUUUGGGCAUCCUUUAUUCUUCAAGUUUAUGCUCAUGGCAGCUUGGAACAUUUGGAUAUUAAGGAAUAGAAGAACUGUCAGGGGAGAGCGUGCUUCUUUUGCUACCUGGAAAUGUAAAUUUGUACAUGAUAUUCAUCUUCUAGCGCAUAGGCCUAGAGAUAGCAUCAAACAACAGGUAUUAGCUUGGGUCAACACCCUCAUGUAA
Molecule: ribosomal RNA, 318 nt
Filed under: Triticum aestivum (bread wheat)
Lineage: Eukaryota; Viridiplantae; Streptophyta; Magnoliopsida; Poales; Poaceae
Description: partial small subunit ribosomal RNA
Source: RNAcentral